This 260-nucleotide ribosomal RNA is filed under the name uncultured Bacillota bacterium. RNAcentral's name for it is "uncultured Firmicutes bacterium partial 16S ribosomal RNA". It matches the Rfam family "Bacterial small subunit ribosomal RNA", at positions 338 to 590 of the family's 1533-position model. Lineage: Bacteria; Bacillati; Bacillota. The record is from RNAcentral.
CCUACGGGGGGCAGCAGUAGGGAAUCUUCCACAAUGGACGAAAGUCUGAUGGAGCAAUGCCGCGUGAGUGAAGAAGGGUUUCGGCUCGUAAAACUCUGUUGUUAAAGAAGAACACCUUUGAGAGUAACUGUUCAAGGGUUGACGGUAUUUAACCAGAAAGCCACGGCUAACUACGUGCCAGCAGCCGCGGUAAUACGUAGGUGGCAAGCGUUGUCCGGAUUUAUUGGGCGUAAAGCGAGCGCAGGCGGUUUUUUAAGUCU